This 253-nucleotide ribosomal RNA is filed under the name uncultured bacterium. Its description in RNAcentral is "partial 16S ribosomal RNA". It matches the Rfam family "Bacterial small subunit ribosomal RNA", at positions 524 to 776 of the family's 1533-position model. The record is from RNAcentral.
UACAGAGGUCUCAAGCGUUGUUCGGAUUCAUUGGGCGUAAAGGGUGCGUAGGCGGCGCGGUAAGUCGGGUGUGAAAUCUCAGAGCUUAACUCCGAAACUGCAUUCGAUACUGCCGUGCUUGAGGACUGGAGAGGAGACUGGAAUUUACGGUGUAGCGGUGAAAUGCGUAGAUAUCGUAAGGAAGACCAGUGGCGAAGGCGGGUCUCUGGGCAGUUCCUGACGCUGAGGCACGAAGGUCAGGGGAGCAAACGGG